Non-coding RNA from Camellia sinensis, 1827 nucleotides. The record is from RefSeq and is a predicted model, not a curated record. Lineage: Eukaryota; Viridiplantae; Streptophyta; Magnoliopsida; Ericales; Theaceae.
AUUCUUUUUGCUUCCCUCGCCCUUCAUCUUUGCUCUGUCUUCCAUAUACCCUUUCAAUAUCCUCUUCUCAGAUCAAAAAAAAAGGAAAAGAAACUGUCUGCCUUCUCCUAGUCGUCUCUUUCCAUCUCGGAACCCCAACAGCACCAGCGUCAGAUACCCUCAUCUCCUCUCAUUUUCUUUCGUCUCACACUCGCUCGCGCAGACCCUCACAAUCUCUCUCUCUCACUCUCGCUCUCGCUCUCGCGUUACCCUCACAGUCUGUCUGUAGCAGCGGCAGCGACUUCUCACCGGUUCUCGGUCCGACAUCCAGGUAUCUCUCCUCUGCUGUUCUCUCCUCUUUUUCUCUUCUUUUGCCUUCAUUGGAAUCAAAUCCUCUUCAUUGGAACCCUAGAAAGUGGUGCAGAGAUUGGAGAUUGAGAGAGAGGGGGAUUGGAACCCUAGUUUUAAAUCUAUACAAAACUUAAUAUUUGCAUAUUUAUGGCUUAAAUUUUAAAUACUGAGAGAUGAGAAUUAUCUAUUUCAAUACUUAAUUGAAUGUAUUUUUAUGGACUCUGGUUUUAUUAUAUGGAUUUAAGUUAUAUAAAAAACUAGAGUCCUUCAGAUUCUAAGGAGAAGACAUGGCAUCUUAUGCUAGUGUUAGGCAAGUCCUCCAGCCCAAAUGUACUAAAUAUUUCCAAUUUCAAUUGAGCCCAUCUUGGGUUGUUCCUUGCUUACUUGUAUUCAAGACCAAGUACAUCAGUCGCUUCUCUGGGCUACAUGAAUUUUCCGGCCACUGGAAUCUGACAGCUGCCUUAAAGGCAACUUUAGGAAAUGGUACCCAGGAAUAUGAGGAUGGAGUGUCUUUUGGGGACAAUGAAAUUGCCAUUGGACACUAACAUUCCUAGAUUUGAAAGCUUGCUAUUCCAGGUACUUGUUACUUUGUCCAAUUUGAGAAUUUUUUAGUAUUUCCUAAAAAAGGUUUUUCUGAAAAUUUUCUAAAAAACAUUUUUUGGAAACAGUGCGCUAAACAAGUUUUCCAUGAUUUUCAAAAAUUGAAAACAGAAAACAAAAAUUCAACCAAACAAUUGGAUUAGAAUUUUAUCUCUGUAGUUGUUCACAGCUUUUCUACUAUGAGAGAAGAGAAUCUCUGUUGGAGGGCCUUGUGAAUCGGUCCCCAUUGUUGCUCCCUGCUUGUCCUCAUGCGGUGAGAAAGAAAUUACUGAGAGGGAGAAGCGAGAAAAGGAGCUUGGUGGUUAAGGACGUGGCGAGGUAAAUUAAAGUUAUAAAUAUAUGACACUAUAUAUGCGAAUCAUCGAGUUUUUUGUUCCUUUGUAGGUGAUUUACAAGGAAAGGUGCCAUGAGAUGGAUUUAGUGGUGGACAGAGCUCAAUCGGAUGACUUGCUAGUGAGAGAAGUGGACACCAUAGUCGAGCAUGGUCUUGACUUUGUUGAUGAGGGGAUAUGGUUAUUACCUGUGAUUGUUACUUUGUAGACAAAAGAGGAUCAAAUAAAUGGAGAAAUUCUUAUGGAGAAGGCAAAAGAGGGUCAAAUGAAUGGGGCAGUUGUUAUAGAGGAGAUAAUCAUCAAUCUCUCAUUUUUUUAAAAUCUCUCUACAAUUCUAAUCUUGAUUUUCCCUUUGAUAUGUACCUCUAAUGAUUUAAUUUCAAUAUUCUAAUGUCAAAUAAAUGGGCAAUUGUUAUAGAGGAGCUUGUUUUAUAAUUUCAAUCAAGGAAAUAGUUUUGGAUAAAGCAAACUAGAGAAAACAGAUUAAUGUAGGUGACCCCAAGUAAGUAAUUAAGGCUUGUUUAGUUUGGUCAAUGAAUAAGAUUUUUAAUGCAUUUUUAUGCUA